ACACUCCUCAAUCAAUAAUGCCGCCUUAUCUGCCUUCUAAAGAAAGGAUAAAUGGAAAAAGGAAGGAAGGAAAGCCACCCGUCCUGCAAAGAUGCCUAUAUCCUUGUGCCGUUACCUUUCUGGAUUCUGCCCGUUGCCUGAAAAGCUGACAGGAUCUGAAGGGGAUCAAACUAGGGUCCUCUGGCUUGCAAGGCAAAUGUUGUAAGAGUCACAAAGGUGCCUAAGAGAUCCAUGGAAUAAAAAACAGUUGCUAACUGUUAAGUGUCUUGCCCAAGGGACAGAUCUUUCCCGAAAUGCUAGAAGCUAGUGCUUAUGGGAGAAAACAAGCCACAUGCUUCACUCCCCUAAACAAGUUUGUUUGGCCCAACUGUACUGGAUGUAGGUGUGAGGUACAUAGUCAGGAAAUAGGUAGGGAUGUAUGCUUGCCCCUGACCGGGAUGUAAGUGGGAGGUACACAGACAGGAAGUGCUUCAGGAUAUAUGUUUGCCCCUGAAUGGGCCUGCUGGGAAACAUGUAGCCUUAUGGGUUUGCCUUUAUAAGCCUCUGCAAAAUAUAUGAUUUGUAGACGUUUUCUGGGAACCCAGGAAUGAACCUGACCAUAGUCCAUCAUCUUGGCCAGUGUUCAAUUAAUGGCUUCAAAUGUGGCUCAAGACUGUGGUAGUGGUCUUAGUCUCACCUAGUGGCAUUAGCAAUGUCAUAUUGAGUUAUCACUUUUUAUACUUGGUCCUGUGUCCUAGAGGGAACCAUCAAGUAAAUAGUCAUCGGAUAACUGAGAUUAUCUGUAAGCCUAGUCAAGGGACACACCCUCAAAGGGGGUCUAUAGGUUGGUAAGAGACUCUGAAAUUUAGAGGAUUGCCCAUGUCAAAGCAGGGCCUGUUGUAGCUACAUUGGCUGGCAGAGAGUCCUGAGGGUUCCCAAAUAAAGCAAAGAUGUGAAUAAAGUGAAGGCAUGAGUACCCCUGAGCUGGAGUUACAGACUCUCC
RNAcentral lists this long non-coding RNA (982 nucleotides) under Mus pahari (shrew mouse). Its description in RNAcentral is "lncRNA (MGP_PahariEiJ_G0005468.1)". The record is from RNAcentral. Lineage: Eukaryota; Metazoa; Chordata; Mammalia; Rodentia; Muridae.